GGUUGUUCCAAGUGCAGUGGUAUUUACAACUAAUUGAUCACAGCUAGUUACAGGUUCCUUUGUUCCUUGUCCACUCACACUGCUUCACUUGACCAGUCUUUA
Molecule: Y RNA, 102 nt
Filed under: Microcebus murinus (gray mouse lemur)
Lineage: Eukaryota; Metazoa; Chordata; Mammalia; Primates; Cheirogaleidae
Description: Y RNA (ENSMICG00000043924.1)
Rfam family: Y RNA
About the family: Y RNAs are components of the Ro ribonucleoprotein particle (Ro RNP), in association with Ro60 and La proteins. The Y RNAs and Ro60 and La proteins are well conserved, but the function of the Ro RNP is not known. In humans the RNA component can be one of four small RNAs -- hY1, hY3, hY4 and hY5.
Source: Rfam by way of RNAcentral